RNAcentral lists this ribosomal RNA (445 nucleotides) under Paenibacillus sp. RNAcentral describes it as "bacterial SSU rRNA". It matches the Rfam family "Bacterial small subunit ribosomal RNA", at positions 333 to 771 of the family's 1533-position model. The record is from RNAcentral. Lineage: Bacteria; Bacillati; Bacillota; Bacilli; Caryophanales; Paenibacillaceae.
CUACUCCUACGGGGAGGCAGCAGUAGGGAAUCUUCCGCAAUGGGCGAAAGCCUGACGGAGCAAUGCCGCGUGAGUGAUGAAGGUUUUCGGAUCGUAAAGCUCUGUUGCCAGGGAAGAACGCUUGGGAGAGUAACUGCUCUCAAGGUGACGGUACCUGAGAAGAAAGCCCCGGCUAACUACGUGCCAGCAGCCGCGGUAAUACGUAGGGGGCAAGCGUUGUCCGGAAUUAUUGGGCGUAAAGCGCGCGCAGGCGGUCAUUUAAGUCUGGUGUUUAAUCCCGGGGCUCAACCCCGGAUCGCACUGGAAACUGGGUGACUUGAGUGCAGAAGAGGAGAGUGGAAUUCCACGUGUAGCGGUGAAAUGCGUAGAUAUGUGGAGGAACACCAGUGGCGAAGGCGACUCUCUGGGCUGUAACUGACGCUGAGCGCGAGAUUCUUUAAAAUUU